This 506-nucleotide long non-coding RNA is filed under the name Vulpes vulpes (red fox). RNAcentral's name for it is "lncRNA (ENSVVUG00000013743.1)". The record is from RNAcentral. Lineage: Eukaryota; Metazoa; Chordata; Mammalia; Carnivora; Canidae.
AUGGGAGGAGGGAUUAGACCUACGUCUGCUGUUGCUGUGCGGGCUGGUGGACAUGAGGUCAGUAGAGCCAGCAGUGAGAACAAGCCAAUGGUUGGGAAGUGGGGGCAGGUGAGGGCAGACAGGAGCCUGGGAAAAGGAGCUGGAAUCUGCUUCCCUUUCUCUCCGGAACCCACUUCAGCCUCUCAGCACCUUCAAGUGUCCAGUUCCAGCAGAGAACUGGCAUAUGUCACCAGGAAGCCCUCACGCACCUGCCCUGGACUCAGGGAGGCUCAAGGAAGAGGUUCUGUGGAGGCUGGAGGAGCUGUGGGUGGGGCAGAUGCCUCACACCCGAAGAUGAGCUAACAGACUGUCCCCCAACCCCCCAGCAAGCCUGAUCUUAUUACACUGGCAAACUUUAUGUUGUUCUCACUUUCUGCCUCAUUCAUGUAUUUAAGAAAUUGUUCUUGAAGGAAAAGCGAUAGUAGAGAUUGAAUAAAUAAAUGGAAAAGGUACUUGAGACUUACCCA